CCUACGGGUGGCAGCAGUGGGGGAUAUUGCACAAUGGGGGAAACCCUGAUGCAGCGACGCCGCGUGUGGGAAGACGGUCCUCUGGAUUGUAAACCACUGUCCCCAGGGACGAAGAUGACGGUACCUGGGGAGGAAGCUCCGGCUAACUACGUGCCAGCAGCCGCGGUAAUACGUAGGGAGCGAGCGUUGUCCGGAAUUACUGGGUGUAAAGGGAGCGUAGGCGGGACUGCAAGUUGGGUGUCAAAUCUACCGGCUCAACCGGUAGCCGCACUCAAAACUGCAGUUCUUGAGGGAAGGAGAGGCAGGCGGAAUUCCUGGUGUAGCGGUGAAAUGCGUAGAUAUUAGGAGGAACACCAGUGGCGAAGGCGGCCUGCUGGGCUUUUACUGACGCUGAGGCUCGAAAGUGUGGGGAGCAAACAGGAUUAGAUACCCUUGUAGUC
RNAcentral lists this ribosomal RNA (440 nucleotides) under uncultured bacterium. Its description in RNAcentral is "partial 16S ribosomal RNA". It matches the Rfam family "Bacterial small subunit ribosomal RNA", at positions 338 to 795 of the family's 1533-position model. The record is from RNAcentral.